UACGUAGGGGGCAAGCGUUGUCCGGAUUUAUUGGGCGUAAAGGGCUCGUAGGUGGCCAACUAAGUCGGACGUGAAAUCCCUCAGCUUAACUGGGGAACUGCGUCCGAUACUGGAUGGCUCGAGUUUGGGAGAGGGAUGCGGAAUUCCAGGUGUAGCGGUGAAAUGCGUAGAUAUCUGGAGGAACACCGGUGGCGAAGGCGGCAUCCUGGACCAACACUGACACUGAGGAGCGAAAGCCAGGGGAGCAAACGGG
RNAcentral lists this ribosomal RNA (253 nucleotides) under uncultured bacterium. Its description in RNAcentral is "partial 16S ribosomal RNA". It matches the Rfam family "Bacterial small subunit ribosomal RNA", at positions 524 to 776 of the family's 1533-position model. The record is from RNAcentral.